Molecule: ribosomal RNA, 253 nt
Filed under: uncultured bacterium
Lineage: Bacteria
Description: partial 16S ribosomal RNA
Rfam family: Bacterial small subunit ribosomal RNA
Source: RNAcentral
UACGAAGGGGGCUAGCGUUGUUCGGAAUCACUGGGCGUAAAGCGCACGCAGGCGGAUUGAUAAGUCGGGGGUGAAAUCCCGGGGCUCAACCUCGGAAUUGCCUUCGAUACUGUCUGUCUUGAGUCCGGGAGAGGUGAGUGGAAUUCCUAGUGUAGAGGUGAAAUUCGUAGAUAUUCGCAAGAACACCAGUGGCGAAGGCGGCUGACUGGUCCGGAUCUGACGCUGAGGCGCGAAAGCGUGGGGAGCAAACGGG